This 301-nucleotide ribosomal RNA is filed under the name uncultured bacterium. RNAcentral describes it as "partial 16S ribosomal RNA". It matches the Rfam family "Bacterial small subunit ribosomal RNA", at positions 509 to 809 of the family's 1533-position model. The record is from RNAcentral.
CAGUCGCCGCGGGAAAACGUAGGUGGCAAGCGUUGUCCGGAAUUAUUGGGCGUAAAGGGCUCGCAGGCGGUUUCUUGAGUCUGAUGUGAGAGCCCCCGGCUCAACCGGGGAGGGUCAUUGGAAACUGGGAAACUUGAGUGCAGAAGAGGAGAGUGGAAUUCCACGUGUAGCGGUGAAAUGCGUAGAGAUGUGGAGGAACACCAGUGGCGAAGGCGACUCUCUGGUCUGUAACUGACGCUGAGGAGCGAAAGCGUGGGGAGCGAACAGGAUUAGAUACCCCAGUAGUCCCUGUCUCUUAUAA